GGGGAAGCACUGUAGCUCUGUGGUGGUGGAUCUGCUUGGCAUGCAGAAGGUCACAGGUUCGAUUCCUGGCAUCUCCA
Podarcis lilfordi (Lilford's wall lizard) is the source of this 77-nucleotide non-coding RNA. NCBI's taxonomy places the organism in Eukaryota, Metazoa, Chordata, Lepidosauria, Squamata, Lacertidae. The record is from the annotation of a GenBank genome assembly.